UAAUAACAUCAGGAGCAGUUUCUUUAUUGAAACUCGCCAACCGAGUCAGUAAGACAGCGGUGGUUUGAUCCAUAAAUGGUAGAUGUGCCCAAAAGGGAAACAUAUAAAGCCACCU
Molecule: non-coding RNA, 115 nt
Filed under: unclassified sequences
Description: SAM-I-IV sequence
Rfam family: SAM-I/IV (S-adenosyl methionine) riboswitch aptamer
About the family: It is found upstream of a number of genes which code for proteins involved in methionine or cysteine biosynthesis.
Source: Rfam by way of RNAcentral